AGGAGGAACAACCCCAGUGGUGGCAGCCAGAUCUGGAGCCCUCGAUUCAGCUCCAGCAGUAACUAUGGAGCUCUCAGUCUGCAGGUGCCUGGAUGCUCUGGGGUCCG
This 107-nucleotide microRNA precursor is filed under the name Canis lupus familiaris (dog). RNAcentral's name for it is "mir-8834 microRNA precursor family". It matches the Rfam family "mir-8834 microRNA precursor family". Lineage: Eukaryota; Metazoa; Chordata; Mammalia; Carnivora; Canidae. The record is from Rfam by way of RNAcentral.